RNAcentral lists this unclassified non-coding RNA (508 nucleotides) under Hevea brasiliensis (rubber tree). Lineage: Eukaryota; Viridiplantae; Streptophyta; Magnoliopsida; Malpighiales; Euphorbiaceae. The record is from RNAcentral.
CCCACCGCAAGUCUCUUCUCGUUGACCUCCUCUCCAGAGACGCCGCCGUUUUCCUAGAGAGAUAUGGAGCGAAAUUGACAUGGGAAGAGCUUGAGGAAUUCGAUAUGCUAGACAAUGACUACGAGAUAAAUUGGCACCUCAAGAAUCUGAGAAGCAAAGUGAGUCCAACUUCUGAGGAGUUGAAAUCAAGGUCGGUGAAGGUCAAGAACAGGAGGCUUGCUUACUUGAAUAAAUUGAUACAUGACGGCACCUACUUCUCUGAGGAUGCUAUGAGGGAGAGAGAGCCAUAUUUGCAUCACGAGUUUGUGGGUAAGUUUCAGGAUCAGAGUGCCAGAGGCAUGGCGAGGCCGGGGGAGCGGUGGUCUGAGACGUUGAUGAGGAGGUCUGAGGAGGCUAUUUUGGUUUCUAAGAUUAGGGCAGAGCAGCAGAGGUUGGGUGUGGCUGAGAGGGAUUGGGUUGGUAAAGAAAUGAACCAACAAGAAGAGGAAGAGGAAGAGGAAGAGGAAGA